CCUCCUUAAACGAAGCCGAAUGCUUCGGUCAGAGUCCACACGAAUUACUUGGUUGAUUAAUAAAGAGAGCAGAUGGGUCUAUCAGGCCCGUACCAUUGGGUCUGUAGCUCAGGUGGUUAGAGCGCACCCCUGAUAAGGGUGAGGUCGGUGGUUCAAGUCCACCCAGACCCACCAAAAUUGCUCAACUCCUGGAGUUGGACAAUUUGAGGUAGCUUAAAUGGGGCUAUAGCUCAGCUGGGAGAGCGCCUGCC
RNAcentral lists this unclassified non-coding RNA (251 nucleotides) under uncultured Marinobacter sp. RNAcentral's name for it is "partial 16S-23S ribosomal RNA intergenic spacer". The stretch from base 98 to 171 matches the Rfam family "tRNA". The record is from RNAcentral. Lineage: Bacteria; Pseudomonadati; Pseudomonadota; Gammaproteobacteria; Pseudomonadales; Marinobacteraceae.